AUGUCAGACACAGAGAGGUUCUGAUGUCAGACACAGAGGUUCUGAUGUCAGACAGAGGUUCUGAUGUCAGACACAGAGGUUCUGAUGUCAGACAGAGGUUCUGAUGUCAGACACAGAGGUUCUGAUGUCAGACACAGAGGUUCUGAUGUCAGACACAGAGGUUCUGAUGUCAGACACAGAGGUUCUAAUGUCAGACACAGAG
Austrofundulus limnaeus is the source of this 202-nucleotide long non-coding RNA. RefSeq lists it as uncharacterized. The record is from RefSeq and is a predicted model, not a curated record. Lineage: Eukaryota; Metazoa; Chordata; Actinopteri; Cyprinodontiformes; Rivulidae. The transcript has 3 exons.